GAUGAAGAACGCAGCGAAAUGCGAUACGUAAUGUGAAUUGCAGAAUUCAGUGAAUCAUCGAGUCUUUGAACGCACAUUGCGCCCCCUGGUAUUCCGGGGGGCAUGCCUGUCCGAGCGUCAUUGCUGCCCUCAAGCACGGCUUGUGUGUUGGGCCUCCGUCCUCCUACCGGGGGACGGGCCCGAAAGGCAGCGGCGGCACCGCGUCCGGUCCUCGAGCGUAUGGGGCUUCGUCACCCGCUCUUGUAGGCCCGGCCGGCGCUUGCCGACACAUCAAUCUUUUUUCCAGGUUGACCUCGGAUCAGGUAGGGAUACCCGCUGAACUUAAGCAUAUCAAUAAGCGGAGGA
This 345-nucleotide unclassified non-coding RNA is filed under the name soil metagenome. RNAcentral's name for it is "partial contains 5.8S ribosomal RNA, internal transcribed spacer 2, and large subunit ribosomal RNA". The stretch from base 1 to 120 matches the Rfam family "5.8S ribosomal RNA", at positions 35 to 154 of the family's 154-position model. The record is from RNAcentral.